Molecule: ribosomal RNA, 253 nt
Filed under: uncultured bacterium
Lineage: Bacteria
Description: partial 16S ribosomal RNA
Rfam family: Bacterial small subunit ribosomal RNA
Source: RNAcentral
CACGGAGGGGGCUAGCGUUGUUCGGAAUUACUGGGCGUAAAGCGCACGUAGGCGGCUUUGUAAGUUAGAGGUGAAAGCCCAGGGCUUAACCCUGGAAUUGCCUUUAAGACUGCAUCGCUAGAAUCGUGGAGAGGUGAGUGGAAUUCCGAGUGUAGAGGUGAAAUUCGUAGAUAUUCGGAAGAACACCAGUGGCGAAGGCGACUCACUGGACACGUAUUGACGCUGAGGUGCGAAAGCGUGGGGAGCAAACAGG